Molecule: ribosomal RNA, 515 nt
Filed under: uncultured bacterium
Lineage: Bacteria
Description: partial 16S ribosomal RNA
Rfam family: Bacterial small subunit ribosomal RNA
Source: RNAcentral
GACGAACGCUGGCGGCGUGCCCAAUACAUGCAAGUCGAGCGAUGAUUAAAGAUAGCUUGCUAUUUUUAUGAAGAGCGGCGAACGGGUGAGUAACGCGUGGGAAAUCUGCCGAGUAGCGGGGGACAACGUUUGGAAACGAACGCUAAUACCGCAUAACAAUGAGAAUCGCAUGAUUCUUAUUUGAAAGAAGCAAUUGCUUCACUACUUGAUGAUCCCGCGUUGUAUUAGCUAGUUGGUAGUGUAAAGGACUACCAAGGCGAUGAUACAUAGCCGACCUGAGAGGGUGAUCGGCCACACUGGGACUGAGACACGGCCCAGACUCCUACGGGAGGCAGCAGUAGGGAAUCUUCGGCAAUGGGGGCAACCCUGACCGAGCAACGCCGCGUGAGUGAAGAAGGUUUUCGGAUCGUAAAACUCUGUUGUUAGAGAAGAACGUUAAGUAGAGUGGAAAAUUACUUAAGUGACGGUAUCUAACCAGAAAGGGACGGCUAACUACGUGCCAGCCGCCGCUGUAA